Homo sapiens (human) is the source of this 1251-nucleotide long non-coding RNA. Ensembl annotates it as POT1 antisense RNA 1. Its record names the gene POT1-AS1. Lineage: Eukaryota; Metazoa; Chordata; Mammalia; Primates; Hominidae. The record is from Ensembl.
CAACGGGAGCGCAGGGCCAAGAUACCCUUUAUAUCAAACCGUCUAUCCUGGAGCAGAAAAAUCCUGUCUUCAUUGCUAUAGCUACAGAUUCAGAAAUGAGCAUGUAACAAAUUCAGGCCAAAGAGAGGCAAUGGAAAUCAGAGAAACACUGUUCCUGAAAGCUUCUGUCACUCAAGAAUCCAUGAAACAUUCAUGAACUUCACAUCAGGUCACUGGGUAAUAGGAUGUAAAGAGGAGUUCUCAAAACAACCUCACAGACCCAGAAUAAUCAAAACAAUUGAAGACUUAACUUCAAUUUCAAAACUUACCACAGAGCAAGAGUAAUCAAGACAGUAUGGUACUUCCCUAAGGACAAACAUAUAUGAAUGAAAGAGAAACCAGAUUUUGGAAAUUUUAAAGAGUGUCAAGACCAUUCAGCAAGGAAUGAAUAGUCUUUUCAACAAAUUGUGAGACAAUAGAUAUUCACAUGCAAAAAAUGUACCUGGACUCCUACCUCACGCCAUAUAAAAAUAUUAACUCAAAAUGGAUUAUAGGGAGGAAGUGGAGGAAGAUGACCAGAAAAAACCUUCCAGUGAUUAUCCCUAACUUGCCCUGCAGGAAGACCAAAUUGAACAACUAUCCACAAAGGAAAGCACCAUCAUAUGAGGCAAAAAUCAGGAUGGAUACCAUUCAAGCCCAAGGAAAACCAAUGCUUCUUUUCAUCUAUGGACUCAAGUCUCAGAAAGCAGAGAAGUGAGUGUACCAAGUGCAACAAACGUUUGAGCAUUGUUCUGCUGCCAAUAUUGAAGACAGCCACUGCUUUGAAGUGUGGGGAGGAGAGCUAGAGCAUAUUUGCCUGCCACAGUUAGUUUUGUGUUUCCAUGGAAUUUGAGCAAAACUGAUGCACUUGUCUCCCAGGAUUAAUCCAUACAAGUCACCUCUAAAAUUAUCUUUUCCCAUUCGUUGACUGAGCAAAAUGGACUUCAAGGACCUAAAGGAGGUUAAAUACCACAAGAUGGAGGAGCUUGAGUCUCUGAAUCAUUGUGUGUGAAGUCAUCUGCCAAUUACAUAAAUUGAAUUCUUGGUGAGUGUGAAGUACACAAGUAGCCAUGUAAUUUUGGAAUGAAUGUUACAGAAAUUUACUUACCCUGCCUAAUACACUCCUACCAUUUCAAUUAAUUAGUUCUACUGUAUGUUUAAUGGGAUGAAAUGUAUGUAUAUGUUUUUAUUCUCUAUUUUCUAUUGUUAUGCAUAGCAUAUAAAUUUCUAACA